AUCAAAUGAAUGCAAAGUUUAUGUUAGUAGUAUCAUAUACUCUUGUUUUAAAAACCAUUUUAUAAGCAUAGUGGGAGUAUUAUAUACAACUAAAUUCAAUCAAAUGGACCAAUAGUUGUAAUAGGACCAAAAUUGUUUUAAUAAAGAUUAAAAUGAAUAUUUAUAUAUGAUGAGACCUAAAACCCUCAACCAAACCAUUAUUAAGUUGAUAAGCGAGAGAUACUUUGAACAUCUCUUCGUAGGCCUUCCACCAUGGUAGGCUUCAAUCGUUUGUGACUCAUACACCGUAUUCGUCCAGUUCUGGGGUAUGCAAAGUAUGUGCUUACAUUCAGGAGAAGCCUAUAAACAUAUGAUGAAGUGAAAGGUAGGCAACGAGUAUGGUCAAUAUGAUAUUCUUUUGAGGCCAUUCUUGAACCCCUACUUGAACUAGCAUGGUGGGAAUGACUUAACUAAGUACAAUGGGGUCAAUAUGAUAUUCUUCUAAGGCAUCAUUUUCUAGAGGCCAAAUUAGAUGGGUAAUUACAAAAGUUGUA
This 533-nucleotide long non-coding RNA is filed under the name Malus domestica (apple). RNAcentral describes it as "long non-coding RNA (MDOM_LNC008294)". Lineage: Eukaryota; Viridiplantae; Streptophyta; Magnoliopsida; Rosales; Rosaceae. The record is from RNAcentral.